This 1917-nucleotide unclassified non-coding RNA is filed under the name Cyanidioschyzon merolae strain 10D. RNAcentral's name for it is "hypothetical transcript". The record is from RNAcentral. Lineage: Eukaryota; Rhodophyta; Bangiophyceae; Cyanidiales; Cyanidiaceae.
ACUGCGAGUCCGGAUGUGGCCACCAGAGAUCAAGGGAAUCAAUAGUCCUUGGUAUACAUCCCGCAAACUUCAUGUAUGUACAGUUUCAUGCGAACCAUGCCAUCUACAGCACGUGUCAAUUGUAUAUAUCGUUCUAGGUGCAGGGCUCGGAAGGCGCUUGCCAGCAAGGCCGUGUACUAUGCGAAUCGACUGGAGCUGAUCUCGGAAAUCGAGUGAUCGAUACUGUUUGAGAAAAAGCAUCGAAAGUAAACGCACUGUCAUGCAUCGCUGAUCGUAGCGCGAACACAUUGUGCACGAGGCGUACUCAUUGGGGCGAAUACAAGGGACCGGCGUUCGACGACGGACCCCGACACCGGAACGCGAUGCGUGGACCAGUGCACCGAUAAACUUGUGGUGCGUCCACGUGACAGGUUAUCAUGCAGGCACCGUGCCGACAGUUCUCGUAGGUUCCUCAGGUAGGUAGCGCUUUAAACGAGCGUGCAUCUGGCGAUACACUGGGGCUGCCAUUCGAACUGGGACAGGUUUCCUGCGCUCUUUCGAGCUCAGGAGACGCUGGACUACCUGUGCUGUCUGCUGCGACUAAUGAAAUAACCUAUAAGCGCUGGGGCGCUUCAUGGUGAACCAAAGCUAUGCGAAACAGGCAAAUUUUUCGCGUUGCUUGGCCCCUGCCCAGCUCGCAUGCGUUACGGAACGAGCAUGCCGCGUAUCGCCAACAUGCGAUAUGCUCGUCCUGAAACCGCACCACUGCACGCAAUCUAUCGCAUCCUAAACACCCAAGCGUCUCGAGUUGUCAACCGUGCGUCACGUGCUCGUGCGGCAUCCAGAUGCAGCAACGAUGGCCCCAGCUGCAGUCCUGCGCUCGCUUUUGGAAUGGCAGCGUUUGUUCUAUGUGGCCAACACGCCCGUCCACUGACUGGCGUUCGAGGCUGUUCGGCGUGGCGCCCUGGAUGCACGACCAACACCCGAUGCACAAAUGAUACCUCGCAUGAGUCGGGGCGCAUCGUCGGUGUUUGCGCGCUGUCUGAAGCGGCAUCAUUCCCGUCAAGGUCAACCGGGACCCGCUUGUGCGAUGUAUCGACGCUCGUGACCAGAUGAAGUCGUCCGUCUCCCGUGAAAGGCGGCUUCAUAACAACCACGCAUUCCAGCUUGCUAGUUAUCUUGGGUGUAAUCAUGCUUUCCCAAACUGACACUGCAGCAUUGUCCUACGUUUUGUUCUUCACCGACACCACAGCCAUCGACUUGAGCCUCUUUCAGGCCGAGAGUACCGCACUCGACGCAUUCGGCAACGCUUCCCUCCACUGCAGCGAAUCCUUCAACGCCAGCGUAAGCAUCAGUGCCUGGGCAUAGUUCAGUCGCGGAUCGCAAGCUGAAUGGUACGCGCGAGCGAGGUCAUGAACUGCGGUUCGGGUGGCGCCACCAAGGCACUCGGUCACCGCUUCGCCGCUCAUUUCCAGGUGUAUGCCACCAGCAGGCACACCUUCGGCAGCGGUAAUUUCAAAGAAUAACCGCAUCUCGUCGAGAACCUGCUCACAGUCUCGAGUCUUGAAUGAAUUGCCGUUCUUGUCCCGAACACUCUGGGUAUUCGCAUGCAUCGGAUCGCACAUCCAGACGACUGCGAGGCCGCUGCGCUUCACCGCUGCCAUGAGCGGUGGAAGCUUUCGCUGGAGAGCAUCCACACCCAUGCGUGUGAUCAGUGUCAGACGUCCGGGAGUGUUCGCGGGAUUCAGGAUCUCGGCUAGCGCAAAUACUUGCUCCAGUGUAGCGUUUCCAGACAGUUUCACGCCAAUCGGAUUGGAAACACCUCGAAGAAACUCAACAUGAGCGCCAUCAAUCUGGCGAGUGCGCUCACCUAUCCAGAGAAAAUGAGCACUUGUCGCAUAAUACUGCGGCGCUGAUAAUAAAUCGAUAGGCGAUCCC